UUCACUCUGACUGACAUUUAUGUUAUUACGGAAUCAUCCCAAACUUUCACUCUGACUGACAUCUAUGUUAUGGAAUCACUCCAAACUUUCACUCUGACUGACAUCUAUGUUAAGCAAUCACUCUCUAGAUCUAUUACCUGGUACAUGUUUACAACCAUAAUUAUUCAACAGCAUUAAGUAAUAUUUAAUAUUACAUGUCUAAGUUUUCUUAGUUGGAUUUGAAACAUUUUCGUUACUGAAAAUUAAACAUGAAAAUUAAGUAUUUUUGACAGUGUCACGUGAGGACAGUUUAUAUAUAUAUAUCAACAAUAUAUGCACAAAACGUUAUUAUUUCUUAAUGAAAUUGUAAAUAAGAGCUCGUGAACUUUAGGUUUUUAUGUUAUUUGUACUGUGUGAUUAAAACCGUACAGUUCUCCUUUUGUUUUAUACAGUAAAGAUCAGUAGUAACCUCUGAAUACCAAAGAAGCAUUAGGCCUAACAUUUGUGAUAAAAAUCACGUAAACUACAAAUGUGUUUAUCCACAUUCUUCUUCAUUUAAACAUUUCGGAUUAAAAAAUCAGAGGCGUGUAAAAUGGUAUUUCAGAUCUAUGUUUUGUCUCCUACAAGUCUUUGCCCAAGAAGCUUUUCGUACAAUGCCAGAACUUGUCAAGUGGGCUAGACGAUGAGAGACUAAAGGUUUUUGAAUCCAAGAUGGACUAGUUAAAAGAAAAGUGGGGAAAAAAACAUUUACAGUUUACGUGAUUUUUAUCAUGAAUGUUAGGCUUAAUGUUUUUCCAGCUCUGAAUGUAUAGGUUUGUAUGAGCACACCUAAGCCUAAAUUCAAACCGUGCUACAACUUGCUUGGAAGAAUGUCAGCGUUCCUGUUUAAGAAAUUUAAUGUUGACAGCUUAACCGAAAACUUAUGGUCUUUGUUUCUCUCUUUUCUUUUUUUUCGUUUUUUUAAUUAUCUACACUGAACAUGAAUUCUUCUGCCCUCCAUCUGAGCAGCAGGCCUACCCUGAUGAUGUAGCAAUCCAAAUUCGAGUUGUAAACGCUUUCCGCAGUGGUAUUGACGCUCGGAAUAAUCCCGCCAUUCUAAAGAGGCUCGCAGAGAAACGUUCGUCUUCCAUCUCCUCGGAAGCCAUCGAAAGCAGCCUAAAAAACAUCGAGAGAGAAGAAUCGAAACGAGGAACUAUUCAAACCAUCGAGGAGGAAGGGGAAUCGUCGGACAGAAAAAACGAUACGAAAAACUUGGAAAAUGCAGAUGGCGCGUCAAACCACAGCGUGGAAACGGCAGUGUGAUAGGCCUAAACUUGCUAGUUACCAGACAUUCAGCUCAACCUCCUUAGGCCUACAUUUUCUUCUGAUAAUAACUUGUGCGUUUGUAGUGAAUAUAGGCCAAUUCCUGGUGUGGCUAUCAUUGGUUUACAGAUAUAAAAACCAAUGUGGAAAUUACCACGAAUCCCAGCUUUCUUUUCUAGUGUUAGUGUUGCAUGUUCUAGAACUUUGUUUCUGAUUUAUGUUAUGUUUCCAAAACGUUCCACGUUUCCUAAGUUCAAAUAUUGUGUUUCCAGGCUAUGGAAGAGGUAAGACAAAGUGAUUACUGUACUGAAGAAAAACGUCCUUAACUAACCUCCGGAAUGUUCAUUCAAAGUUUCUAAUGUUGCAGGUGCUUUAAAAUAGAACUUAGAAGCGGGUGUGUUUUUGUUUUCUUAUCGAAAUUUUUCAUGUAUUAUAAAAAAAAAACUUUAAAAAUAUCUUUCUGUAUUAAUGUGUGUGUGGUUUAGAUGUUAAUGUAUUUUUCACACCCCUAUCAAGUUUGUCAAAAGUAACGUUAAAAAUCCAGAACAUCUAAUAGACAAGCAGGUUAUACAGCACGUGAUCUUGGUUGUUGUUGUUUUUUUGCCUUUUUCCAUGUUCUUUUACGUUAUCGAGUUUUAGCACGUUCAUAAACAACGACUAAUGUAAGUGGUGAGCUUACACCAUUAGGGUGCGCUCUGGAUUAUAAGCUGGUGACGUAAGAUUGGGUUUUGAACUUAACAAAAGAGAAAAGGUCUUGGUGUGCGGCGUGCCUUUUCCAGUGAAGCUUGGAAACAGUGAUAGACAUAUAAAACCAAAGAAUCAAGUGUAGCCUCGGGAUCACGUGCCAAGGAGAGCCGUGAGAAGAUCAAGUGAUUUUGUGCCGAAAUACACAUCGAUCUGCGUAACUAGAGGGCGCCACCCUCUUUCAUGGACAGGAACUCUUAGUGAAAGCGAUACUGUCGCAAUUUAAACCGUUUAAGUAGCUGGUUGUGUGUGUGUGUGUAUGUAUAUACAUAUAUAUAUAUAUACACACAUGCAUAAUUAUAAAUAUAUAUUAUACACAUUUACCUAAACGUUAGUUCAUCUUCGAACUCGAAUGAGGAAGUACUUUUUUGAUUAGAGAGUGUUUCGAGUUUAAUCUUUUACUGUAUACACAAGUACGUUUUAUAGUUUUUUUUUAAUAGCCGACUUCAGUAAUCCUAGCUGGAAUUAAAUAUUCAACACAGAAGAGUUCCAGAACUGAAAAAAGCAAAAAAAAUGACGAGGUUUUUCUCUGCGUGGACAAGUUAAUUAAGAUUGAUAGUUGAGUUUUUUUUUAAACAUAAUUAAAGAGAUGUUAAUUUUAAGUAACUACCAACGAAGAAUUGUUAUAUUUUUGAUUCGUGUUAUUAAUUCCCAAUUAGUCAAAAUAACAGUUAGAGAAAAGUACUCUAAUGGUUGAUUAGUUAUAUUUUAAGUUUGUAAGGAUACUAUAAUUUGUCAACUAUCGUCUGUCUUUCUUGAUAUUAGAGAACACGGUGCUCAUGCAGAAAUAUCUGUGCUGUCGUAGUUUAUUAAAAAAAAUUCGAUCUCUUUGUUUUAUUCUGAAUUUUCAGGUGCCCUCUAGCGGAAAGCAAAGAUAAUAUGUUAAAAAGGCAAAAUGACAAACAGUUUGCAUUUCACUUACCUCUAAAUGAAAUAGUAGUAAGCAGACUCAAUGUUCUAAUAAAAAAAAAUGCGAAAUAUUUCGUAAAAUUCAAGCUUUUCUAAUAUAUACAUUAUUGCUUUUUAUUCUCCAAUAACCGAUUGCCUAGUAAGACCCCGUUAUUGCAUAUUAUUACCGCUAGAGGGCAACGAUGCUGUUCCAAAGCAACUAUUGUACUGAACGGUGAAUGGCGUAUCGCUGAUUUUUACAGUCGUGAUUCCAAGCAUAACUGUGGUUUCUGUUUUUAUCUAACGAAUUUAUCGUUCAUCGAAUGUCUUGUUAACGUAGAAAAAUUUGUUGAAAACCAAAGAGACAAAGUUAGAGUAUUUUAUUUAACUGCUUGGGCUGUUUACUACCUGCAGUUCCGAUUGAAGAUCGUUUACUUUAUGGAUUGUGACAGUGGUUUUCGUUUCUUGUACUAACGGUGCAAUGAUUGUUCUAAACUGUACAUUUCCAUCCACGUCACAUCUUAUUAAAUAAACUUCAAUUCCAUCUCCCUUCA
RNAcentral lists this long non-coding RNA (3467 nucleotides) under Limulus polyphemus (Atlantic horseshoe crab). RNAcentral describes it as "uncharacterized LOC111083875". The record is from RNAcentral. Lineage: Eukaryota; Metazoa; Arthropoda; Merostomata; Xiphosura; Limulidae.